UGUUUCUACAAAUGUGAACAGUGCUUCUAA
RNAcentral lists this non-coding RNA (30 nucleotides) under Mus musculus (house mouse). Lineage: Eukaryota; Metazoa; Chordata; Mammalia; Rodentia; Muridae. The record is from RNAcentral.